UGAACAGCGCCACCACGUGACGCGGAGCCACGCGUUUACCGUGUGUUUACUGCUGCAUGCUGAACAUUUGGCGUGAUAUUAAGCCAAAAACCAUCUAGUCGAGGCUCUUUAGAUGUGCUAAGGCAUAAUCAGUAGCUAAAAGAUCUGCUAUUUACUCACUCUGGACAGUGAAAAGCAAAAGGUGACUGCAAGAAUUCGCAGAAAGAGACGGCAGAGGGGAAGGUCAAGGCUGUCGAGUCGGAUGGGUUUCCAACGCAAGGCUGUACACUAGAAGCUGAGAAAGACGCGAUGGAUCUUGUGUAAAUAUCAUCUGACCACUGGCCAAGGAUGGAGACGUGGUGGUCACGAUCAGAGCGGGACUGUUCAUGUACAAAUCCCAGAGCAUGCAUUAGCUCAUGAGCUGCCACUCCUGACCACAUACAGCCCGGAGACUGCAAAGACACGGUCUGACUGCCUCCGAUCAUUCCCAGAUAUGACCAGCAGCUAUGGGGUCGAGAGUGGACAACAAUAAUAUUUCAUAGAUCUUACUCACCAUAUGUUGGAGAGAUGAUGUACGGUACAUACACAAAACCAUCAACAGAUCUGGGCCAGCGGCAAGAAUCUCCUAAACAUAUGAUGGCACUGCGGGAUCCUGAACUCAGGAUGUCACCUUCUCUUAAAGGAAAACCUCUGGACACUGGCGGAGUAAGAUAACCACAUGUUUCAUGCUCAAAGUGUAAUUCCCUGUAAAUAUAUGUCUGUAUCUGUACCACACAUACGUUGAUUUACUCUGAGGAUCCUGUCCAUGGCAUUCAUGUCCUCAGAAUUCACAUAAUGCUCUGCUGAAGAGAUUAAGGAUAGUAUAUUUACAUCAGUUCAUUGUAACAACCUACAUUGCUCACCAUGAAAUAUCAGUUUACCUGGAUA
Long non-coding RNA from Cyprinus carpio (common carp), 906 nucleotides. RefSeq lists it as uncharacterized. The record is from RefSeq and is a predicted model, not a curated record. Lineage: Eukaryota; Metazoa; Chordata; Actinopteri; Cypriniformes; Cyprinidae.